This 429-nucleotide ribosomal RNA is filed under the name uncultured Solobacterium sp. RNAcentral's name for it is "bacterial SSU rRNA". It matches the Rfam family "Bacterial small subunit ribosomal RNA", at positions 958 to 1393 of the family's 1533-position model. The record is from RNAcentral. Lineage: Bacteria; Bacillati; Bacillota; Erysipelotrichia; Erysipelotrichales; Erysipelotrichaceae.
AACGCGAAGAACCUUACCAGGCCUUGACAUCCCUUGCAAAGUCUUAGAGAUAAGAUAGAGGUUAUCAAGGUGACAGGUGGUGCAUGGUUGUCGUCAUCUCGUGUCGUGAGAUGUUGGGUUAAGUCCCGCAACGAGCGCAACCCUUGUCUUCAGUUACCAUCAUUAAGUUGGGGACUCUGGAGAGACUGCCGGUGAUAAACCGGAGGAAGGUGGGGAUGACGUCAAAUCAUCAUGCCCCUUAUGGCCUGGGCUACACACGUACUACAAUGGCGUAUACAACAAGAUGCAAUACCGUAAGGUGGAGCUAAUCUAUUAAAAUACGUCUCAGUUCGGAUUGAGGUCUGCAACUCGACCUCAUGAAGUUGGAAUCGCUAGUAAUCGCAGAUCAGCAUGCUGCGGUGAAUACGUUCUCGGGUCUUGUACACACGC